UACGGAGGGUGCAAGCGUUAUCCGGAAUCACUGGGUUUAAAGGGUGCGUAGGCGGUUACGUAAGUCAGAGGUGAAAGGUCACAGCUUAACUGUGAGAUGGCCUUUGAAACUGCGUAACUUGAAUCAGAUAGAGGUUAGUGGAAUGCGACAUGUAGCGGUGAAAUGCAUAGAUAUGUCGUGGAAUACCGAUUGCGAAGGCAGCUAACUGGGUCUUGAUUGACGCUGAGGCACGAAAGCGUGGGGAGCGAAC
Molecule: ribosomal RNA, 250 nt
Filed under: uncultured bacterium
Lineage: Bacteria
Description: partial 16S ribosomal RNA
Rfam family: Bacterial small subunit ribosomal RNA
Source: RNAcentral